UCGAGAAUGCAAAACUCGGUGUGUUC
Molecule: small RNA, 26 nt
Filed under: Bombyx mori (domestic silkworm)
Lineage: Eukaryota; Metazoa; Arthropoda; Insecta; Lepidoptera; Bombycidae
Description: piRNA piR-bmo-1441816
Source: RNAcentral